RNAcentral lists this long non-coding RNA (350 nucleotides) under Citrus maxima (pomelo). Its description in RNAcentral is "long non-coding RNA (CMAX_LNC002187)". The record is from RNAcentral. Lineage: Eukaryota; Viridiplantae; Streptophyta; Magnoliopsida; Sapindales; Rutaceae.
UCGGCUCAGCCCGAGUGGCCAGGGCUGCUGCCCUCCAACUUGGAGGGCAGCAGUUCGAACCCCCACAAAAGUAUUGUGGGGGUAUUUCCUUCCUCAAUUAAUUUGAGUGAAGGUAGUCUUCUCCCUUAUCCAUGAGUGAGGAGUAGACAUCCCUCGAAUAUUUGUGAGGGUUAAAAUCUGGGCAGAGCUCUAUUAGCAAUUAUGUAAGUUGGUCCCAGUAUUAGUCUGAUUUGUAAAUAUCAGUUAUAGUCUCAUGUAUAUGAGUUGUAAUCUGAGCAAUAGUCUCAUGUAAUAAAAAAAAAAUUUAGUGAAAAAAACAUAAAUAAAUAAAUAAAAGGGUUAUUUCCACC